GACGAACGCUGGCGGCGUGCUUAACACAUGCAAGUCGAGCGGAAAGGCCUGCUUUCCCUUGUGGAUUGCGGGUACUCGAGUGGCGAACGGGUGAGUAACACGUGAGUGAUCUGCCCCCAACUUGGGUAUAAGCCUGGGAAACUGGGUCUAAUUCCCGAUAGGACUGCAGGGUGGUUCCGGUGUUGGGAAACGAUUUUCUAGUGGUUGGGGAUGAGCCCGAGGCCUAUCAGCUUGGUGGUGGGGUAAUGGACUACCAAGGCGGCGACGGGUAGCGGGACUGAGAUGGUGGACGGUCACACUGGGACUGGGACACGGCCCAGACUGCUAGGGGAGGCAGCAGUGGGGAAUAUUGGACAAUGGGCGGAAGCCUGCUGCAGCGAGGCUGUGUGGGGGAUGACGGGAUUCGGGUUGUCAACUCGUUGCGACCGAGAGGAAGACACCUGGUUGGAAGGGUGGUGACGGUAGUGGUAGAAGAAGCACCGGCUAACUACGUG
RNAcentral lists this ribosomal RNA (494 nucleotides) under uncultured bacterium. RNAcentral describes it as "partial 16S ribosomal RNA". It matches the Rfam family "Bacterial small subunit ribosomal RNA", at positions 28 to 507 of the family's 1533-position model. The record is from RNAcentral.